This is a long non-coding RNA of Oncorhynchus tshawytscha (Chinook salmon), 795 nucleotides long. Lineage: Eukaryota; Metazoa; Chordata; Actinopteri; Salmoniformes; Salmonidae. The record is from Ensembl.
GUUAGGGCUAGAUGAAGGUGGUAGGGUACAGGGUUAGGGCUAGAUGAAGGUGGUAGGGUACAGGGUUAGGGCUAGAUGAAGGUGAUAGGGUACAGGGUUAGGGCUAGAUGAAGGUGGUAGGGUACAGGGUUAGGGCUAGAUGAAGGUGGUAGGGUACAGGGCUAGAUGAAGAUGGUAGGGUACAGGGUUAGGGCUGUGGGGGAUAUGAUGAGUUAAAAGCCUCUACACCCAAGAAUCCAUGACAGAUUAGCUCAUGUACUUAACGUUGAUCAAUAAAGUUGAUAGUGUUGAAAUGAACCUUGUAAUGGAUGGGCGUGAGCUGGCACUAACAGAUAUCUGUGUGCUACAAUGACACGAUUCAGGGACACUAGGAAAUGCUUAUUGUAAAAACCAAUCAAUGAAAACUGAAACCUUUUCAUAUGGAUAGCUGUUCCCUAGCCCAAAUCAUGAUGUCACUGCACUAAGUUUGGACUUUGCACUUGAAGCUUUAUCUUUUAUCUUUGAGUUGUACUUGAAGUUCUGUUGAGUCAAGACUCACCCACUGACAUGUCUGUCUGUCUGUCUGCCUGUCCGUCUGCCUGUCUGCCUGUCCGUCUGUAUUUCUAGAAAGCCUGGAGGAGAUUUUUCUUUAAUGAAUGAGGGAAGGGACCGUUCUCUCCAGAGGAGUUGCUUGGAUGGACAAGACGGAGACAUACAGGUGAUUGGAUGGAUUAGAGAAAGAGAGCUUCUGAUUGGAGAAAGAGAUUCUGACCUCCCGCCUUCAGUAACAAGGAUUCAUCCUGUUGUUGUAUUCUG